This is a long non-coding RNA of Panicum virgatum (switchgrass), 341 nucleotides long. RefSeq lists it as uncharacterized. The record is from RefSeq and is a predicted model, not a curated record. The transcript is spliced from 2 exons. NCBI's taxonomy places the organism in Eukaryota, Viridiplantae, Streptophyta, Magnoliopsida, Poales, Poaceae.
CCGCAAUUCACUCAGACUAAUAUCCCUACGCGUGCAGCUACCCCUACUCCUCCUCAAUCGGCGGCAUCAAAUGAUGGGCCAAUAGAAAUGUCUCCUUCGCCGAUGCCUCAGAAUGUGUGGCCGCCUCCUCAAUGGGUGACUUACCUGCAGCAGUUCCAGCAGAACCCUUCGUGGUCGCAGCACCCGCCGCCGCCGCCGCCGUAGUCGUGAGUUGUGCUUGUAUGGACAUGCACUCUUUGUAUAGACUAUCGUUUGAACUUGUGCUUGUAUGGACAUGUAUGAACUACCAGUGCUUGUAUGGACUUGUAUCGACUACAUUUGGGCUUGUAUGCAUUGCGAUA